AUUGAACGCUGGCGGCAUGCCUUACACAUGCAAGUCGAACGGUAACAGGUUAAGCUGCCGAGUGGCGAACGGGUGAGUAAUGUAUCGGAACGUGCCCAGUCGUGGGGGAUAACUGCUCGAAAGAGCAGCUAAUACCGCAUACGACCUGAGGGUGAAAGCGGGGGAUCGCAAGACCUCGCGCGAUUGGAGCGGCCGAUAUCAGAUUAGGUAGUUGGUGAGGUAAAGGCUCACCAAGCCGACGAUCUGUAGCUGGUCUGAGAGGACGACCAGCCACACUGGGACUGAGACACGGCCCAGACUCCUACGGGAGGCAGCAGUGGGGAAUUUUGGACAAAGGGCGCAAGCCUGAUCCAGCCAUGCCGCGUGCGGGAAGAAGGCCUUCGGGUUGUAAACCGCUUUUGUCAGGGAAGAAAAGGUUCUGGCUAAUACCUGGGACUCAUGACGGUACCUGAAGAAUAAGCACCGGCUAACUACGUG
RNAcentral lists this ribosomal RNA (477 nucleotides) under uncultured bacterium. RNAcentral describes it as "partial 16S ribosomal RNA". It matches the Rfam family "Bacterial small subunit ribosomal RNA", at positions 30 to 507 of the family's 1533-position model. The record is from RNAcentral.